This 4664-nucleotide long non-coding RNA is filed under the name Olea europaea subsp. europaea. Lineage: Eukaryota; Viridiplantae; Streptophyta; Magnoliopsida; Lamiales; Oleaceae. The record is from RNAcentral.
GUAUUAAAUAAUAAAUAAAGGACAGACACGUGGUUGGAAAGGAAAAAACCGAGAGGAUGGUGAUAAUAAAUGAAAAAAUAUGUGAAAGUUAGCUCAUUACCCUCAAAAUAGCAGCACGGACGUCUGAGGGAGAAGAGUGUAAGAGAGCACUAAUUAGCUUCCAAUCGUCGCGAAUCUCGUCACCGGCAAACCAACCAUACAAAAUUGAUUUGGGCACACUUAAAAGCCCAUAAAAGAAAAAUGGUUGAGGUUGGCAAGCAUUCCAAAUAGAACCAAAAAAUCAGCGAACUCAUCGCUGCUGGCCGCCACGAACUCGAACAUCAGAGUCUUCAUCUUGCCAAGUAAGGUUCUUCUAUUUUAGUUUGUUGCAUUUACUAUAUGGGUUCAAUUUUAUUUGCAUAAAAAGCUGAAAAUAACAUUCUCUAUCGGGUACACAAUGAUGAUUGGCUUAGCUGCAGACUUUGGCUAUGAAAAAUGCACCUUGCUAGAUGUCACUAAAUUUACGCUUCAAGAGAACUUUUCCCUCUUGACUAGUAUUCAACCUUGCAAGAUGAUUCUUCGUAAUUAUUUAAUUAUUUCAAUCCAAAAUUUUAAAUUAGUUUUUUUGAUGAUUAUAAUUGCCAGAUUUAUGAGACAUUGCAUAUAAUAUUAGAUAUUAUAUGUAAGAAACAUUUAUGUGAUGAAUGUUUAAUUAUGGAUGAUUAUGGACUUGACCAUAUGGAUAUGUUGAAUGGUUGAUUAAUUUCUUGUUGUUUUAUGGGCCUGCGAACCCUUAAUUGUUUUGGAUCUGCGAGUCCGUUAUUAUUAAUGUUUGUUAUGGGCCUGCGAGCUCUUUAUUAUAUUGGACUUGCGAGUCCGUUGUUAUUGUUAUUAUUAUGGGUUUGGGAGUCCGAUUUCUUUUAGGUUUGCGUGCCAAUUAGUAUAGGAUACAUGUUACAACUUGACUAAUUGAAGGCACAAAAAAAUGUGGAAACCAUGAAGAUGGUGUAUUGAUGUUAAUCCAAUGUUGUACCCCUUAGGAAUUGACCAAUCGAUUUUCCCUUUGGCUUGAGAAAACUAGAUAGAACAAGUUCAUAAUCAUCCAUACUAUUAUUUAUAUAUAUUUAUUCGCAUAGUUGAUGUAUGUUUAUAUAUAUAUAUAUAUAUAUUUGAUGAGACCAUUGCAUGUUAAAUCUCUCGUUAAAAUAUUAAGUUAGUAUUAUUUGUCUUCCAUCAUUAUAGUGAAAAACGAGAAUCCUAAAUCGACCUCAAUUUGUUGAGUACACUCAAGACUGGUCUAUUAGGGAUAUGUUUUGACACUAUGAAAUAUUUGAUAUUUGUGAAUGAUGGGUUUGAUUUAACUAAAAUUUAUCUUUUGUUGAGUACACUCAAGGAGAUAAGUUUUAAAGGCAUGUUAAGCUAAUACAUAAGAUGUGUGAAGAUAAAAGAGUUAUCAGCUUAAUGAUCUGAGAGUUGUAUGGAGAUACAAUUGAUAAUAAUAUCUACCCAAAUAUUUUAUUAAGAUUUGUUGAGUACACUCAAGAUCUUGAUACCACGAAUGGGAUCCCAGCCCACUGGGAAUCAAAUAUGGAUUCAAAUAAUUUAUGUAUGAUGGUCAUGAAUUUAUUUUAAACAGUGGGAGCACGUUUAAUUAAAGUCCAUAUUGAAUUUGUGCAUAUGCAUUAUAAUAUAUAUUAAUUCUAUAUUUUUUGUUAUUUACAGUUUUUUGAAUCAUGAGUAAUCAUAUGAAUUUGAGAGGCAUAUUGGAUGCCAACAAACUGAUCGGACCAAAUUUUCUCGAUUGGCACCGCAAUUUGAGAAUCGUUCUCAAGCAUGAGAAAAUUGGAUAUGUCCUUGAGCAGCUCUUUCCAGAGGUGCCUACUGAAAAUUCCAUUCAGGAAGAGGUGACUGCUUACAACAAACACAGUGAUGACGAUAACACUGCAGCAUGUGUGAUGCUUGCAGCUAUGUCACCUGAGUUGCAGAAGCAACAUGAAGGUAUGGAUGCUUACACUAUAAUUUUUCAUUUCAAGGAGUUGUAAGAACAAUCUCGUGUGGAGAGGUAUGAGACCUCUAAACAACUAUACCGGUGCAAAAUGGCAGAGGGAUCUUCAGUCAGUGCUGAUGUAUUGAAGAUGAUUAGUUUCAUUAAGAAACUUGGUUCAUUGGGUUUUAUCAUGGAUCAUGAACUAAGUAUUGACUUGGUUCUGCAAUCUUUGCCAGAUAGUUAUUCACAAUUCAUUAUGAACUUCAAUAUGAAUAAGAUCGAAUGCACACUCCCUGAGUUGCUUAAUAUGUUUAAAACUGUGGAGCCCAAUGUCAAGGCUAGCACUGGGCAUGUCUUAGCCAUUCAUUCCUCCAAAGGCACUAAGAGGAAAAUCAAAGGAAGUUUUAAGAAAACAUCCAAAAUGGUUAAGGGCAAUAACAAAGCAGUUAAAGUAGGCAAGGACAAUACCAAAUCUGAUGACCCAUGCUAUCACUGUGGAGUGAAGGGUCAUUGGAAGAGGAACUGCAAGACUUACCUCGCUAGCUUAAAGGGAAAGAAGUCUUCUGAAACUUCUACUGUUGAAUAUUUGUUCAAAAUCAAUGGAAUGAUAAUGGACUAAUUGUUGGACUCAAUUGUGAAAUUGGUAGAACCAAAAGAAAUUGAAAAAUGAAAAUUUUGAUUUUUGCCUAUGCGUAUGCAUAGACUUAUUUUUGUGCGUACAAGAGAUGUGCUUUGGCAAAAUUAGAAUUGAUUUUGCUUCUACUAUGCGUACGCACGAUUUAUACUAUGCGUACGCAAAGUGUUAAAAAAUAGCCGUUGGCUGAUUUUUCAAUUUAAAACUUGGGAGCCGUUUUGAAUUAAAAGUUGUCACUUUUCAUCUUGUUUUGGCACCAUUUCGUGAAGCUUUGAUUCAUGGCUAUAAAUAUGUGUUUGUUGGACAUAAAAAAAACACAUGAAAAUCAGAUUACAAAACAUAUGGUAAUCUGUCAUUAUUCCACAAAAACAAAAAAAUCAUUUCUUCCUCCACAUUCAUAUAUUCCCUAUAUGUUCUUCAAGUUCGGGUAGAGAAAUGCUUGUGCUUUUAUGUUUCUCUACAUCAAGGUUUGAUCAAUCCUUCAAACCGUUUGCCGCAAGAUCUUUUAAGCACCAACAUUAAUACCAAGAGGAGGCAAAUAUCGUUUGAGGACAACGAUGUAACGUCGUGUUUGAGUUCUUCCAUUUUUGUCAUGAUCUUGAUUCGUUUUUUCAUCCUCUUGAUUAAUUUUCUGCAUUGUUUCUUAUUCAACCCCCGUGGUGAAUAAUUUCCCAACAAUCUCAAAUGAUAUUUGGCAAUGGAGAACGAGAUCAUUAUGGAGAGUUCAAGUUGAUGAUAUGCAGAUCGUUGUUGGAACAUUUGAUGAGACGAAUUUUAUAUGAAGGCAAGUAUGAAUUUGAAGAUCCUCCAUAUUCUAAAUUCAGAUUUGGCGACGCUACUGGAGUCACGCUUCUUUGGCAAGACAAAUCUCGAAAGGUUUGAAAGAAAUAAAUUUUCAUUAAAGAAUGAAAGGACUGAAUCUGUCAUCGCGCGUUCGACUACGGUAACUUUCAUUUGUUUUCUUAAUUCCAUAUUGGUAUGCCAAAACUUUUGAUUUGCUUGCGUAAGAGCAAAAGAAAAUUGCACAACAAUUGGCACGCGUAUUCAUGAUUGCGUAAGAUUGAAUUUCUAGAAAUGAGAAUUAUUAUGUUCAGCCCAUAUGCUUGGAAAUUAUGCAAGCACAUAUGCUUGGAAAUUAUGCAAGCACAUAAAUCUAUAAUCUCAUUAACGGUUUACAAUUAACUAAACAUACAUUGAAAAGAUGUGUCUUUCAAAAUCAAACGGUUUCUUAAAAUCUGAAAUGGUAUGAACCUGUUGGAGAAUUAUCUGACCUAGCAGUAUAUACAUUUUCUUUUGGUCUAAUAUGCCCUCUGAAUUUGUCUGAAUAACUCAUGUUGCCUUUGGAAGAAACUGCAUGUAAGUUUAUAUGAAUUGGUACAAUUUAAUAGGUGGCAGAAAAUGAUACUGCUGUUGGCAGUUUGUGAAUUAAUGGAUUAAAUAGUGUCUGCAAAAUAAAAUGAAGAUGGCUGAUUUAUGCAUGCCCUUUUUGGUAUUCAUGUCCAUUGAAUUCUGGGAAAAGUCAGCAAAUUAAUGGAUGUCAUCAUUUCAUAUAUGAUACAAUUGCAUGUGAAUUUUCAUUUUUGAUGUUGUCAGCACGUUAUGCAUGUCUCCAUUUAAAACGGUUUGGCCGGUGACUGAUGAAAAUUUUGUUUAUUCAUAUUACACUUCAUUGGCAAAUUGUAUAUUUAUACAAUUCCCUACACGAUUGGAAUAAACUUGUGCACAUGUGAUAGAUUACUUGCAUGUCGAAGACAGGUUGAUGCAUUAAGUGCAAUAUGGGAACGGUUGAGGCCAUUGCUUAUUUGGGUGCAAACCUGAAACACUUGGUUGCCAGUUCCUUUGGGAAUGAAAGUCAUUAGAGAAUGGAAUUGUACCUUAUCCAUUAAGUGGUAUGUGUUACGCCCCUAUCUGAACCGUUUCGGAAUGCCAACCACCACACAUUCCGACCUGAUGUCUCCGAAGUGUUUCUGAAAUGAUCUCACCAAUGUCAACGACCUGGUAGCACACUGCGAGACGUAGGCGAUCCUGCUGAACUGACCGAAGCGCCCUCGCCCCUUAGGUCGA